CUGAGAGGAUGACCAGCCACACUGGAACUGAGACACGGUCCAGACUCCUACGGGAGGCAGCAGUGGGGAAUAUUGCACAAUGGGCGCAAGCCUGAUGCAGCCAUGCCGCGUGUAUGAAGAAGGCCUUCGGGUUGUAAAGUACUUUCAGCGGGGAGGAAGGGAGUAAAGUUAAUACCUUUGCUCAUUGACGUUACCCGCAGAAGAAGCACCGGCUAACUCCGUGCCAGCAGCCGCGGUAAUACGGAGGGUGCAAGCGUUAAUCGGAAUUACUGGGCGUAAAGCGCACGCAGGCGGUUUGUUAAGUCAGAUGUGAAAUCCCCGGGCUCAACCUGGGAACUGCAUCUGAUACUGGCAAGCUUGA
Molecule: ribosomal RNA, 361 nt
Filed under: Escherichia coli
Lineage: Bacteria; Pseudomonadati; Pseudomonadota; Gammaproteobacteria; Enterobacterales; Enterobacteriaceae
Description: bacterial SSU rRNA
Rfam family: Bacterial small subunit ribosomal RNA
Source: RNAcentral